UGGGGAAUAUUGCACAAUGGGCGCAAGCCUGAUGCAGCCAUGCCGCGUGUGUGAAGAAGGCUUUCGGGUUGUAAAGCACUUUCAGCGAGGAGGAAAGGGUAUUGCUUAAUAGGUAAUAUCUGUGACGUUACUCGCAGAAGAAGCACCGGCUAACUCCGUGCCAGCAGCCGCGGUAAUACGGAGGGUGCGAGCGUUAAUCGGAAUUACUGGGCGUAAAGCGCGCGUAGGUGGUUAAUUAAGUCAGAUGUGAAAUCCCAGGGCUCAACCUUGGAACUGCAUUUGAAACUGGUUAACUAGAGUUUUGUAGAGGGUGGUAGAAUUUCAGGUGUAGCGGUGAAAUGCGUAGAGAUCUGAAGGAAUACCAGUGGCGAAGGCGGCCACCUGGACAAAGACUGACACUGAGGCGCGAAGGCGUGGGGAGCAAACG
This 427-nucleotide ribosomal RNA is filed under the name uncultured Psychromonas sp. RNAcentral's name for it is "bacterial SSU rRNA". It matches the Rfam family "Bacterial small subunit ribosomal RNA", at positions 355 to 774 of the family's 1533-position model. The record is from RNAcentral. Lineage: Bacteria; Pseudomonadati; Pseudomonadota; Gammaproteobacteria; Alteromonadales; Psychromonadaceae.